GACGAACGCUGGCGGCGUGCUUAACACAUGCAAGUCGAACGGAAAGGCCCUGCUUUUGUGGGGUGCUCGAGUGGCGAACGGGUGAGUAACACGUGAGUAACCUGCCCUUGACUUUGGGAUAACUUCAGGAAACUGGGGCUAAUACCGGAUAGGAGCUCCUGCUGCAUGGUGGGGGUUGGAAAGUUUCGGCGGUUGGGGAUGGACUCGCGGCUUAUCAGCUUGUUGGUGGGGUAGUGGCUUACCAAGGCUUUGACGGGUAGCCGGCCUGAGAGGGUGACCGGCCACAUUGGGACUGAGAUACGGGCAAGACUCCUACGGGAGGCAGCAGUGGAGAAUAUUGCACAAUGGGCGGAAGCCUGAUGCAGCAACGCCGCGUGCGGGAUGACGGCCUUCGGGUUGUAAACCGCUUUCGCCUGUGACGAAGCGUGAGUGACGGUAAUGGGUAAAGAAGCACCGGCUAACUACGUG
Molecule: ribosomal RNA, 468 nt
Filed under: uncultured bacterium
Lineage: Bacteria
Description: partial 16S ribosomal RNA
Rfam family: Bacterial small subunit ribosomal RNA
Source: RNAcentral